ACGGGAGGCAGCAGUGAGGAAUAUUGGUCAAUGGGCGGAAGCCUGAACCAGCCAAGUCGCGUGAAGGAUGAAGGUAUUAUGUAUUGUAAACUUCUUUAGACGUAGAGAAAUAAGGCGCUCGUGAGCGCUGAUGCUAGUAUACGUAGAAUAAGGAUCGGCUAACUCCGUGCCAGCAGCCGCGGUAAUACGGAGGAUCCGAGCGUUAUCCGGAUUUAUUGGGUUUAAAGGGAGCGUAGGCGGCCUUUUAAGUCAGCGGUCAAAUGUCAGCGCCCAACGCUGGCCUGCCGUUGAUACUGUUAGGCUUGAAUACACACAAGGAAGGUGGAAUUCGUCGUGUAGCGGUGAAAUGCUUAGAUAUGACGAAGAACUCUGAUUGCGAAGGCAGCCUUCUGGAGUGCGAUUGACGCUGAGGCUCGAAAGCGCGGGUAUCAAACAGGAUUAGAUACCCUGGUA
Molecule: ribosomal RNA, 453 nt
Filed under: uncultured Paraprevotella sp.
Lineage: Bacteria; Pseudomonadati; Bacteroidota; Bacteroidia; Bacteroidales; Prevotellaceae
Description: partial 16S ribosomal RNA
Rfam family: Bacterial small subunit ribosomal RNA
Source: RNAcentral